CAGCCGCCGCGGUAAUACCGGCGGCCCGAGUGGCGGCUACUAUUAUUGGGCCUAAAGCGUCCGUAGCCGGGCUGGGAAGUCCUCCGGGAAAUCUGGUCGCUUAACGAUCAGACUUCCGGAGGAUACUGCUGGCCUAGGGACCGGGAGAGGCCGAGGGUAUUCCCGGGGUAGGGGUGAAAUCCUGUAAUCCCGGGAGGACCACCUGUGGCGAAGGCGCUCGGCUGGAACGGGUCCGACGGUGAGGGACGAAGGCCAGGGGAGCGAACCGGAUUAGAUACCCGGGUAGUCCUGGCGGUAAACGAUGCGGACUAGGUGUCGGGCAAGCUAAGGGCUUGUCCGGUGCCGCAGGGAAGCCGUUAAGUCCGCCGCCUGGGGAGUACGGCCGCAAGGUUGAAACUUAAAGGAAUUGGCGGG
RNAcentral lists this ribosomal RNA (414 nucleotides) under uncultured microorganism. RNAcentral describes it as "bacterial SSU rRNA". It matches the Rfam family "Archaeal small subunit ribosomal RNA", at positions 459 to 872 of the family's 1478-position model. The record is from RNAcentral.